This 436-nucleotide ribosomal RNA is filed under the name Candidatus Omnitrophota bacterium. RNAcentral's name for it is "bacterial SSU rRNA". It matches the Rfam family "Bacterial small subunit ribosomal RNA", at positions 1 to 396 of the family's 1533-position model. The record is from RNAcentral. Lineage: Bacteria; Pseudomonadati; Candidatus Omnitrophota.
CCUUUGGAGGGUUUGAUCCUGGCUCAGAGUGAACGCUGGCGGCGUGGAUUAGGCAUGCAAGUCGAGCGAUCUUAUUUUUCUUUUGUUUCGGGGUAACCUGAGGCAGAAGAAAAAUGCGAUAGCGGCAAACGGGUGAGUAACGCGUUGGUAACCUACCUUGAGGAGGAGGGCAGCCCCGUGAAAACGGGGGUAAUACUCCAUGAUCUCGUGGAUCGCAAGAUUCAUGAGCAAAGAUGGCCUCUAUUUAUAAGCUGUCGCCUUAAGAGGGGCCUGCGUCCUAUCAGGUAGUUGGUGAGGUAAUAGCUCACCAAGCCAAAGACGGGUAGCUGGCGUAAGAGCGUGACCAGCCACAUCGGGACUGAGAUACUGCCCGGACUCCUACGGGAGGCUGCAGUCGAGAAUCUUUCCCAAUGGACGAAAGUCUGAGGAAGCGACG